UCAAGUGACUAAGUGCAUGCGGCGGAUGCCUUGGCGAUCACAGGCGAAGAAAGACGCGGCAGCCUGCGAAAAGCUGCGGGGAGCUGGCAAACGAGCUUUGAUCCGCAGAUAUCUGAAUGGGGGAACCCACACCGCAAGGUGUAUCCGUAGCUGAAUACAUAGGUUACGGAGGCGAACGAGGAGAACUGAAACAUCUAAGUAUCCUCAGGAAAAGAAAUCAACCGAGAUUCCGGCAGUAGCGGCGAGCGAACCCGGAGGAGCCCAGCUUUUGAUAGUACGAACUUUAGCCGAAAGGUCCUGGAAAGGCCUGCUAUAGUGGGUGAUAGCCCCGUAGGCGAAAAAGUUUGUGCGGUACUAAGGAAGCGAGAAGUAGAGCGGGACACGUGGAAUCCUGUUCGAAGACGGGGGGACCAUCCUCCAAGGCUAAAUACUCGUGAUCGACCGAUAGUGAACCAGUACCGUGAGGGAAAGGCGAAAAGAACCCCGGGAGGGGAGUGAAAUAGAACCUGAAACCGCAUGCAUACAAACAGUAGGAGCCUUUACGGAGGUGACUGCGUACCUUUUGCAUAAUGGGUCAGCGACUUACAUUCUGUGGCGAGCUUAACCGAAUAGGGGAGGCGCAGCGAAAGCGAGUUCGAAAUGAGCGUCCAGUCGCAGGGUGUAGACCCGAAACCAGAUGAGCUAUCCAUGGCCAGGCUGAAGGUGUGGUAACACACACUGGAGGACCGAACCGACUAGUGUUGCAAAAUUAGCGGAUGAGCUGUGGAUAGGGGUGAAAGGCUAAACAAAUCUGGAGAUAGCUGGUUCUCCCCGAAAACUAUUGAGGUAGUGCCUCGUGUAUGGCUCCAGGGGGUAGAGCACUGUUAUGGCUAGGGGGACAUGGCGUCUUACCAAACCAUGGCAAACUCCGAAUACUUGGAAGUCUGAGCACGGGAGACAGAGCACCGGGUGCUAACGUCCGGACUCAAAAGGGAAACAACCCAGACCGCCGGCUAAGGUCCCAAAUAACAGCUAAGUGGAAAACGAAGUGGAAAGGCCGUGACAACCAGGAAGUUGGCUUAGAAGCAGCCAUCCUUCAAAGAAAGCGUAAUAGCUCACUGGUCGAGUCCUUCUGCGCGGAAGAUGUAACGGGGCUAAGCUGUUAACCGAAGCCGCGGAUGCGCUGGUUAUCCAGUGCGUGGUAGGGGAGCGUUCUGUAAGUCUGCGAAGGCGGUUCGAGAGGACUGCUGGAGAUAUCAGAAGUGCGAAUGCUGACAUGAGUAACGUUAAAGCAGGUGAAAAGCCUGCUCGCCGUAAGCCCAAGGAUUCCUGCUCUACGUUCAUCGGAGCAGGGUGAGUCGGCUCCUAAGGUCAGGCCGAAAGGCGUAGCCGAUGGGAAUCAGGUUAAUAUUCCUGAACCUGCGUCAGAUGCGAUGGGGGGACGGAGCAUGGAAGAUCAUCCGGGUGUUGGAAGUCCCGGUUGUUUAGCGUAGGAGGUCUGCAGGCAAAUCCGCAGACGCAUCUCCAAGGCAAAGACACGUGCCGCCACGGCGGCGAAGUGAUCGGAAGUGCUUCCAAGAAAAGCCUCUAAGCCCCAGUCUGAUGCGGACCGUACCGCAAACCGACACUGGUGGGCGAGCUGAAUAUGCUCAGGCGCUUGAGAGAACUCAGGAGAAGGAACUCGGCAAAUUGACACCGUAACUUCGGGAUAAGGUGUGCCUUUGUAGUGUGAAGAGAGAAACACUCCGAGCAUGAAGAGGCCUCAGAGAAUCGGUGGCUGCAACUGUUUACUAAAAACACAGCACUCUGCAAAGAUGAAAGUCGACGUAUAGGGUGUGAUGCCUGCCCGGUGCUGGAAGAUUAAUUGAUGGGGUGCAAGCUCCUGAUCGAAGUCCCAGUAAACGGCGGCCGUAACUAUAACGGUCCUAAGGUAGCGAAAUUCCUUGUCGGGUAAGUUCCGACCUGCACGAAUGGCGUAACGAUCUCCACACUGUCUCGGCCAGAGACUCGGUGAAAUUGAAGUCGCGGUGAAAAUGCCGUGUACCCGCAGAAAGACGGAAAGACCCUGUGCACCUUUACUAUAGCUUGACAUUGG
RNAcentral lists this ribosomal RNA (2074 nucleotides) under Burkholderia sp. K4410.MGS-135. RNAcentral describes it as "bacterial LSU rRNA". It matches the Rfam family "Bacterial large subunit ribosomal RNA", at positions 3 to 2120 of the family's 2925-position model. Lineage: Bacteria; Pseudomonadati; Pseudomonadota; Betaproteobacteria; Burkholderiales; Burkholderiaceae. The record is from RNAcentral.